GGCUGUGUUGUCUAGUGGUAUGAUUCUUACUUCGGGUGUGAGAGGUUUCGUGUUCGAUUCUCGACUUAACCC
RNAcentral lists this transfer RNA (72 nucleotides) under Perkinsus olseni. RNAcentral describes it as "tRNA-Pro". It matches the Rfam family "tRNA". From Rfam's summary of the family: Transfer RNA (tRNA) molecules are approximately 80 nucleotides in length. Their secondary structure includes four short double-helical elements and three loops (D, anti-codon, and T loops). The record is from RNAcentral. Lineage: Eukaryota; Perkinsozoa; Perkinsida; Perkinsidae.